Drosophila sulfurigaster albostrigata is the source of this 2024-nucleotide long non-coding RNA. RefSeq lists it as uncharacterized. The transcript is spliced from 2 exons. Lineage: Eukaryota; Metazoa; Arthropoda; Insecta; Diptera; Drosophilidae. The record is from RefSeq and is a predicted model, not a curated record.
GGUGUUCGCAGCUGCCAGUUGAAAGUUGAUUCCAGUCAGAGUUCCGAGUUAUUUUUUGUUAAAUUUAUGAAAUGAACGCUCUCUAAAACAAGUUGACGAAAACAAUUUGCAGCGAACUCGUUAAUGGCAACUGAGAACCGGUAAAAAUUGUUGUUGCCAACAACAAAAGUCAAGAGUGAACGACUUUGGUGUAAUCCCAGCACACACACACACACACACACACAUGCUCGUAAAUCAAAUUUGAGUUUUUAAGCCGCAACGGAAUGUGUGCCAAAGCUCAACGAAAUGUCGAAUGGGAUUAAAUAUAUCACAUAAGUAUAAAGAGCAGAGCUAAAAGUCAACUAAAAUAAUAGAUGCAACUACACUGAAUAAACGAAAUAAAAGCAAGCAUUGCAAAUUUACGUUGCAGACUAUUAAAGAUCACUUCAAAGGCAGCUACGAAAAGGCUUGUUUCACUUGUUUUCUUUUCUUUUUGCAUUGGUGAAUUGGGUACUUGGGAGGUGAGUAUACAUGAGACAAGAGACCAUUGGAGGUGAGUAUACUUGAGACAGCACAAGUACUUGUAGUAGGUAUGUCUGUUAUUGUCGUUGUCGUUGUUGUUGUUGUUGUUGGCAUUGACCGCAAAUGAGAGAGAGAGAGAGAGAGAAGGUUGCAAAAGUCACACGAUAGCUUUGGCAGUACUCGAAGCCGUAAUGCCUGCGGUCAGGCAAUGGACUUCUUAAAUGUCAAUAUCGCGACAUGCGUGUGCUCCUAUAUAUCUAUAAACCCGCAGAGAUGCAGACGGAGACGGAGAUGGAGAUGGAGACGCAUACGCAGACAAUUGCGUAAUCCACUGAAGAUGUGGAUUUAGUGACGACUGCGAUUACAUCAUACCAAAUAAAUAGUCGUGUAUAUAUAGUUAACAUAGCUGGGCUUGCUUUGCUUGAGCAAAAAAAAAAGGCAAAAAAUAUGAGCGUCGUUUGCCUUUUGCCGAGUUUUACGAGCGAGCUUACGAGACGAAGCUCAAUGUGGCGGCUUGCAUGUCAACAAAACUGGUUGGCUUUAAUUAAAUAUUGUACAACUGAUCGAGAAAACAGCAACGAUUGGUAAUAUUAAGACACAAGGAACUGGGCGUCAUCUUCGGCAGAUGGGAAAGUUGUUUCCCUUACGUAACUAAAGCGAAGCUACUCUGAAAGUGGUUUGACAUAAAAAAUUCACAAAACACAAAACCCGGAGCCUAACUCUUAUCCCCCUCAAAAAUUUGUUCAAUUUGAUUUCAUUAUAUAAUGUAGUAUAUAAAUUAAGAAUACAAAAUAGGCUGUCAAUAAAAAAUCCCAAAACAUGUUAGGAGCAAAAAUAGAGAGAAACAUUCAAAUUACUUGAAUUUCUGGUCAUAAAUAGUAUAAUUUAAAAUGUUGCAAAUUAUGAAUAUCAACUUUAGGAAUCAGAAAUGCUCAAAUGAAAAUAAUAAUCACUUGAGUGCUAAAAAUCUCAAUGCUAAAAUUACUAGGAAGUAGUUUGUAAAAUAUGAUUUUUGAUUUGAAUUUCAUGGCUCAAAUAUAGUUGAUGAUAUUGAGAAAGUUGUGCCAAGAGCUGACAUUGGAUCGAAAUCAUAAAAUAACAUUAAUAUUAACUUUUACGAUUGCUGCUGCAAGAUAAAAUUUUUAUGAAGAUCUGUUUGUUGAAGAUUGUGUAAACAUUUUAUGGCUAACCUCGCCCUGCCAACUUAAUGAAAUAAUUGAAAUUGUAUCAAACAAGGUAAGAAAAUGUCGAUGAUAAAAGCGUAUGACAUUCAAUUGACUUGAAGCUUCAUAGCUGUUGAAGAUAAAUGUGGCAAAUGUAUUCAUUCAGCAUCAAAUGGACAAAUAAGCAAGAUGUAUACGUAUACGUAAUAUAAUUUUGGUCACAUCGAAUUCAAUUUUUAUUCUAUCAAAUAUCAAUUUUAAGUCAACCAAAUAGUCUAAUUUUGAAUACAAAAAUGUUAAUGGAUUGGAUAUUUCCUAUAUAUACUAUAGAGAUUUCAAUGUGUAUUGAAUAAUACAAAA